RNAcentral lists this ribosomal RNA (253 nucleotides) under uncultured bacterium. Its description in RNAcentral is "partial 16S ribosomal RNA". It matches the Rfam family "Bacterial small subunit ribosomal RNA", at positions 524 to 776 of the family's 1533-position model. The record is from RNAcentral.
UACGUAGGGGGCAAGCGUUGUCCGGAAUCAUUGGGCGUAAAGAGCGUGUAGGCGGCCAGAUAAGUCCGCUGUGAAAUCUCGAGGCUCAACUUCGAGCUGUCGGUGGAAACUGUCUGGCUAGAGUCCGGAAGAGGAGAAUGGAAUUCCUGGUGUAGCGGUGAAAUGCGUAGAUAUCUGGAGGAACACCGGUGGCGAAGGCGGCAUCCUGGACCGGCAUUGACGCUGAGGCGCGAAAGCCAGGGGAGCAAACGGG